RNAcentral lists this long non-coding RNA (1623 nucleotides) under Macaca mulatta (Rhesus monkey). Its description in RNAcentral is "lncRNA (ENSMMUG00000059575.1)". Lineage: Eukaryota; Metazoa; Chordata; Mammalia; Primates; Cercopithecidae. The record is from RNAcentral.
UCUUCAUUGCAUUUUCAAAUAAUUUUGAGAUACCAAGAUACAUGUCAUCUUAGGGAUUAACAAUUGCCUCUGUCUCUUCUGGAAUCUGACUCACAUUAUUUUCUGUGGCUCUGGAAUAGUUCUUCUGAUGAUGAUAAUAAAUCAUAGUAUCUUUUUCAAUAAUUUGCUGCCUCAUAAUCCUGAUAAGAUUGUUAAUCUUUAUUAUUGCCUGUCUAGACUCUCGCAUCUGGGGGUUGAUUAUGAGAAACCCGACCUGUACAUUAAUUUCUCUCUAGUUUGUUUUCAAGCUUAUUAACUCAAAUUUAUAAACCAAUUUCUGUUUAUAUGCCCCUAGAACAAGAAUGUUACACUGAAAUUGUUUCAGAGGCUCGACGUACAUAGUAACUGGUGAUUAAUAAAGGAUGCUUUAAGUGAUUCAACUAUUCACCUUUUGGGGGACAAAUACAGACCAGGGGUGAGCUAUGUGGUAGACGGAAGGUACCGAGCUCCUGAUAAUCAUGUUUAUUGUGAGUAGGACACACUCAAGCGUUAAAAUCAUGCCAAUCGGUGUAUUCUGAUCUUAUCCUUCUUCAUACUGCACAGAACCAUGUACUGUCUCUGCAUCAUAUUACUAUAAUAUGAUGUUUCUUCAUACUUUUUUUUGCUAUUGUUGGACUUUCCCAGCCUGACUUAUUUUCCUUGAAAAUAGACAUUGUCUUCAUCUAGCACAGUAGUCAAUACAAGCAUAUGUGCAGCACUUAAUGAAUGUUAUUAACUUGCAGAUUUGGAGGGUCAAGUCCGGCUAGGCUGUUCUGGGUGGGCUCUGCAGUCAUCUGGAGCGUGCCAUGUCAAGAUCAAACUUCUCAUGCUCUUUUCCUGCUGCAAAAUACCCUAAUACAGAACAAUUUAAGGGAAUCUACGAGUAGAAGCAGGCUGCAUUGACUUUAUGCAGUUCACACUCCUGUCCUGAACUAUUAUAUGCCCUGAGAUACAGAAGUGCACAAGACCAACAAGAUCCAUGAGCUUACAUCUGAAGGCAAAGAAAGCUGGAAAAUCUGAUGAAGUAAGUGAUUUUACAUGUUAAUGAUGAGCUUUGUAGAUCAUUCUUUAAUAUAGUACAGUGAUUGGCAGAUGUUCUAAUUAACAGCAUCUUAUUUGCUUUAUUGAGCUUUGAAAUUAAAUUCUGAGAACUCUCAUAUGAGUAUCUUCUGUAUUUUACAUGUUGAUCCUUUCAGUAGUUUAAAAAUUAUCCCAUAACCUUGCUCUUAACAAGAUUUUUACACAUUUUUAAAUAAGGGAAAGCAUACAUACAUCAGCUUCAGGUACAAAAAGUGAGCUAUACAAUCGUGUGUCGUUAAUGAGAGAAAUAAAUUCUGAGAAAUGCAUUUUUAGGCGAUUUAAUCAUCACGCACCUCCUAGAGAGUACAUACCCAAAUCUGGGUGGUCUAGACUACUACUCACCUAGGUUAUAUGGUAUAGUCUAUUGCUCCUAGGCUACAAACCUGUUACUGUACUGAAUACUGCAGGCAACUAUAACACAAUGCUAUUUGCAAUACAAACAUAUCUAAAAAUAGAAAAGGUGCAGUAAAAAUAUGAUAUGAUAGUCUUAUGGGACCACCAUUGUAUAUGUGGCCCAUCGCUGAC